GGUAGCAGGCAAGAGUGUGGUUAUCGUUGGACCAGGAUUCAGGAUCUGACUGAGUAGCUGACUCUUAAUCCAGUUUGUGUUGAUCACCAGGAGGAUCUGGACCUCAGUAUUACCACAUCUAGAGGUCAAGGAAGCUUUUCCUGAUCCACUAACUAAGGACAAUCAAACCCUUCAUGAUCUAGAAUCUGGAGACUGUGUCUUCUGGGAAUAGUAUCAGAGAAAGACUGCCCUUACUGCCCACAUGUAGCAAAACUUUGAGACGUUGAAUUAUGGGUCCAUAAUCUCACAACUCAGAGGGGCACCUCUAGACUCUUGGAACUGUAUAUCUAUUGGAGACUUUAAGGUAAAGCUGAACAGAGAGACGUUUUUCUCCAGAAGCAGACAGCACCAUAGUCAUGGACAGCUUUCCCAAGAUCACAGAUCAAGACUUCUCUGCCGUCAUGAGACUCAUAACCUCUUAAUUUUUUCUUGCUUAUGCUUCUGUGAACAAUAGAAUUGGAAAAGGGGUGGUCCCGCGUGCACCCAUAGGGUAUACUUUUAUUUGUGGAGGAUUUUGCUGCCAACCUUAUACAUGGGCAAACUUAUGCCUUCAUGGAUGGAAGAUAAAGGGCUAAUAUGGGUUAGAAAUUUUAAUGGUACCUUUGUUUCUCCAUAAUCAUUCAGAAACAGAACACUGGUCCACUCUUGUUAACCUACAUCAUAGGUUGAAGAGAACAUUGCCAGGAGGCCUUCAUCCUUCCAGAUGGGCACCAUUUGUUGGGUCUUUUUCCGUGGUAUGAAGAAAAUGAAGCAAUGAUUAGAAAUUGGUCCCUCGGCCGGGCACAAUGGCUCAUGCCUGUAAUCCCAUCACUUUGGCAGGCCGAGGCGGGUGGAUCACCUGAGGUCAGGAGUUUGAGACCAGCCUGACCAAUGUGGUGAAACGCCAUCUCUACUAAAAAUACAAAAAUUAGCUGGGUGUGAUGGUGCACACCUGUAAUCCAGCUACUCGGGAGGCUGAGACAGGAGAAUUGCUUGAACCUGGGAGGCAGAGGUUGCAGUGAGCCAAGAUCACCCCACUGCAUUCCAGGUUGGGCAACAGAGCAAGACUCUGUCUCAAAAAAAAAAGAAGAAAGAAAGAAA
This 1119-nucleotide long non-coding RNA is filed under the name Homo sapiens (human). RNAcentral describes it as "RASSF8 antisense RNA 1". The record is from RNAcentral. Lineage: Eukaryota; Metazoa; Chordata; Mammalia; Primates; Hominidae.